GAUGAACGCUGGCGGCGUGCCUAAUACAUGCAAGUCGGGCGAACGGACGAGAAGCUUGCUUCUCUGAUGUUAGCGGCGGACGGGUGAGUAACACGUGGAUAACCUACCUAUAAGACUGGGAUAACUUCGGGAAACCGGAGCUAAUACCGGAUAAUAUUUUGAACCGCAUGGUUCAAAAGUGAAAGACGGUCUUGCUGUCACUUAUAGAUGGAUCCGCGCUGCAUUAGCUAGUUGGUAAGGUAACGGCUUACCAAGGCAACGAUGCAUAGCCGACCUGAGAGGGUGAUCGGCCACACUGGAACUGAGACACGGUCCAGACUCCUACGGGAGGCAGCAGUAGGGAAUCUUACGCAAUGGGCGAAAGCCUGACGGAGCAACGCCGCGUGAGUGAUGAAGGUCUUCGGAUCGUAAAACUCUGUUAUUAGGGAAGAACAUAUGUGUAAGUAACUGUGCACAUCUUGACGGUACCUAAUCAGAAAGCCACGGCUAACUACGUG
RNAcentral lists this ribosomal RNA (497 nucleotides) under uncultured bacterium. Its description in RNAcentral is "partial 16S ribosomal RNA". It matches the Rfam family "Bacterial small subunit ribosomal RNA", at positions 28 to 507 of the family's 1533-position model. The record is from RNAcentral.